RNAcentral lists this ribosomal RNA (475 nucleotides) under uncultured organism. Its description in RNAcentral is "partial 16S ribosomal RNA". It matches the Rfam family "Bacterial small subunit ribosomal RNA", at positions 334 to 800 of the family's 1533-position model. The record is from RNAcentral.
CACUCCUACGAGAGGCAGCAGUGGGGAAUUUUGGACAAUGGGCGAAAGCCUGAUCCAGCAAUGCCGCGUGUGUGAAGAAGGCCUUCGGGUUGUAAAGCACUUUUGUCCGGAAAGAAAUCCUUGGCUCUAAUACAGUCGGGGGAUGACGGUACCGGAAGAAUAAGCACCGGCUAACUACGUGCCAGCAGCCGCGGUAAUACGUAGGGUGCGAGCGUUAAUCGGAAUUACUGGGCGUAAAGCGUGCGCAGGCGGUUUGCUAAGACCGAUGUGAAAUCCCCGGGCUCAACCUGGGAACUGCAUUGGUGACUGGCAGGCUAGAGUAUGGCAGAGGGGGAUAGAAUUCCACGUGUAGCAGUGAAAUGCGUAGAGAUGUGGAGGAAUACCGAUGGCGAAGGCAGCCCCCUGGGCCAAUACUGACGCUCAUGCACGAAAGCGUGGGGAGCAAACAGGAUUAGAAACCCCAGUAGUCCCAUGA